This 333-nucleotide unclassified non-coding RNA is filed under the name soil metagenome. RNAcentral's name for it is "partial contains 5.8S ribosomal RNA, internal transcribed spacer 2, and large subunit ribosomal RNA". The stretch from base 1 to 120 matches the Rfam family "5.8S ribosomal RNA", at positions 35 to 154 of the family's 154-position model. The record is from RNAcentral.
GAUGAAGAACGUAGCGAAAUGCGAUAAGUAAUGUGAAUUGCAGAAUUCAGUGAAUCAUCGAAUCUUUGAACGCACAUUGCGCCCAUUAGUAUUCUAGUGGGCAUGCCUGUUCGAGCGUCAUUUCAACCCUUAAGCCUAGCUUAGUAUUGGGAAUCGACUUUACUGUCGUUCCUCAAAUUCAACGGCGGAUUUAUAGCAAUCUCUGAACGUAGUAAUUUUUUUUCUCGUUUUUGAAAUACUAUAAACCUCAGCCGCUAAACCCCCAAUUUCUUAUGGUUGACCUCGGAUCAGGUAGGAAUACCCGCUGAACUUAAGCAUAUCAUAAGCGGAGGA